Long non-coding RNA from Corythoichthys intestinalis (scribbled pipefish), 896 nucleotides. RefSeq lists it as uncharacterized. The record is from RefSeq and is a predicted model, not a curated record. NCBI's taxonomy places the organism in Eukaryota, Metazoa, Chordata, Actinopteri, Syngnathiformes, Syngnathidae. The transcript has 9 exons.
UUCGCAGCUCGCUGUUUUUGUUGUUGUAUGGUAUUGAUGUUUUGCCUUCAUUUGUUUUGUCUGGUCCUUUGUAGUUUGAAUGUUGUCACAUGAUCCAAAUAGGACAAAGUUGUAAUUUUUUCUUGAUAUUGUUCCUCUGCUUAGCUAUAUAGUUUUUCAUUAUUAUUUUUUUUUUUUACUAGCUCCAAGAUCACCACCCCAUUGGGAAGAAACUAAAUCACGACCCCCAAAUGGUAGUCUUCCCAUGCAGAAACAGGGAUGUCAUACAGAUCCAAAUGGAAACAUCGAACACUGUAAAACCCACUGUGCAGACAGGACCAAUGGUGACAAUAUAAGACCAUGCCGAGCUUCAUGAACGGUUCAAACUCAUCCUGCCCAGGAACGGCUGAUUAUGUAUUUUUCAGGGAAGGACCAUAUUUGUGGCUGACCCCUAUGUUGUUGCAACAUGGUGAAAGCCUACAGGAUGUGACCCACACAUGCAUUUGCCUAAAACGUUGACAGUCAAUCAACAGGGGGACAUGGAAAGAGAGGAUUGGAAGUGAAAUAGAGGGUUUUCCGGGACAGCCAUAGGGGAAGGACUGUGGCAUCUUCAUGUUGAUGACUGAUAUGCCAACUCUGAGGAAGUGGUGGUGUAUAUUGCUAGCGGACAAUUUCAAACUUGGGAGCAUGCCACAGGAAAGAGUUUGCCCAUUGGACAGAUGAGGCAAAAGCAUUACUGCAGGGUGAAGUGCCACCAGUCUAUCAGUUACAGAAGUGAAAUUUGAAUAUAAUUGCUGAGGAAGAGGUGCAACCACAGCUCCUUCAAGUUAGUGGUGGCCCACUCCAAAAAGAUAUGGCGGGAAAAAAUGUUUUGGUAAAAGGAUUGUGCAAGACAGCACAAAAGCCUCAGACAGGGC